CCUACGGGUGGCUGCAGUGGGGAAUUUUGGACAAUGGGGGCAACCCUGAUCCAGCCAUUCCGCGUGAGUGAAGAAGGCCUUCGGGUUGUAAAGCUCUUUUGUCCGGAGCGAAACGGGCGGCCCUAAUACGGUCGUCUACUGACGGUACCGGAAGAAUAAGCACCGGCUAACUACGUGCCAGCAGCCGCGGUAAUACGUAGGGUGCGAGCGUGCAUCGGGAUUACGGGGCGGGUUGUGUGCGCAGGAGGUGAAAUCCCCGGGCUCAACCUGGGAAUGGCGUUUGGGACUGCAAGGCUGGAGUGUGGCAGAGGGGACUAGAAUUCCUGGUGUAGCAGUGAAAUGCGUAGAUAUCAGGAGGAAUACCGAUGGCGAAGGCAGGUCCCUGGGCUGACACUGACGCUCAUGCACGAAAGCGUGGGGAGCAAACAGGAUUAGAUACCCCUGUAGUC
RNAcentral lists this ribosomal RNA (449 nucleotides) under uncultured bacterium. Its description in RNAcentral is "partial 16S ribosomal RNA". It matches the Rfam family "Bacterial small subunit ribosomal RNA", at positions 338 to 795 of the family's 1533-position model. The record is from RNAcentral.